This 183-nucleotide small nuclear RNA is filed under the name Moschus moschiferus (Siberian musk deer). Its description in RNAcentral is "U2 spliceosomal RNA (ENSMMSG00000020050.1)". It matches the Rfam family "U2 spliceosomal RNA". From Rfam's summary of the family: U2 is a small nuclear RNA (snRNA) component of the spliceosome (involved in pre-mRNA splicing). Complementary binding between U2 snRNA (in an area lying towards the 5' end but 3' to hairpin I) and the branchpoint sequence (BPS) of the intron results the bulging out of an unpaired adenosine, on the BPS, which initiates a nucleophilic attack at the intronic 5' splice site, thus starting the first of two transesterification reactions that mediate splicing. Lineage: Eukaryota; Metazoa; Chordata; Mammalia; Artiodactyla; Moschidae. The record is from Rfam by way of RNAcentral.
AUCCCUUCCAGGGAUCCCUUUUGGCUAAGAUCAAGUGUAGUAUCUAUUCUUAUCAGAUGUAUCAUCUAUCUGAUGACAAUACAGUAAAUGGAGCAAAGUUCUGGAGCAGGGAAUUGGAAUAGGAGCUUGUUUAACUUCUCUCUACACAUACACCUGGUAUUCCCCAGAAAUGGUGCAACUCCC